RNAcentral lists this ribosomal RNA (207 nucleotides) under uncultured bacterium. RNAcentral describes it as "partial 16S ribosomal RNA". It matches the Rfam family "Bacterial small subunit ribosomal RNA", at positions 568 to 774 of the family's 1533-position model. The record is from RNAcentral.
CGCGUAGGCGGCCGCCUAAGUCAGACGUGAAAUCCCUCGGCUCAACCGGGGAACUGCGUCUGAUACUGGGUGGCUUGAAUCCGGGAGAGGGAUGCGAAAUUCCAGGUGUAGCGGUGAAAUGCGUAGAUAUCUGGAGGAACACCGGUGGCGAAGGCGGCAUCCUGGACCGGCAUUGACGCUGAGGCGCGAAAGCCAGGGGAGCAAACG